This is a long non-coding RNA of Mus musculus (house mouse), 3893 nucleotides long. RefSeq annotates it as predicted gene, 33938. The transcript is spliced from 6 exons. The record is from RefSeq and is a predicted model, not a curated record. Lineage: Eukaryota; Metazoa; Chordata; Mammalia; Rodentia; Muridae.
UGUAAACGAGGAAAAUACCUAAUAAUAAUAAAAAAAGAGUAAUUUAUUUUAUAUAUUUGUGCGUAUGUGUGUUUAAGUUUUCAGGUAUGUCUGUGUAUCAUGUGUGUGCUGAUGCCAUGGAGCCAGAAGAGGACGUCGGAUCCCCUGGGGCUGGAGUUAUGGGUAGUGUACUGAGAAUAGAACCUGGAGCCCCAUGUAUGCCUGACAGGUAUGCUCCUCAACUGCCUGGGCCACGCAGGAAGAGCUUCACAUCUUCAAAGGCGUUAAAAAUGUCCCUAGCCUCUGUGCAGGGCACACAAAGAACAUGCCUGGAGGAUAAAAGUGCAACGCCGUGUAAUGAACUCGGCAAGAACAAGGUCAUCGGGGACACAGCUAAGUAACGUUUCAAAUGAGGCACUCAGGGUGACUUUGGGCCCAAGGAACAUGCGCAUUGUAGGCAUGGAAAGAAUGUAGGAGCAAGAUGUAAUGGCAUUGUGAUGCUUUACCCAGUGAGUUGGAUGUCCUCACUGCCAUCUUGAAUCAAAGCAACCGAGAAGUCUCAUGACAGCAAGCCAGAAACAUCCUGGUGGCCGGGCAUGCCAGAGGAAAUGUACUCACUUCAAAGAAGGCAGGAAGCAGACAGAGUUGAGAAACUGCCAAGGGACAAACAAACAAAGAUUGCCAUAGAGAGCUUUGUCUUCAACAGACCCCACCUAUUAAAAGUCCAUUUGAACAGCUAGUAAUUUAAUCAAUGGACUAACUUAUGAGCCAAUCAUCUCUUUAAAAAACUGUAUGUAUGGUGUUAUAUGCCCUGGAACUGGAGUUACAGACAAUUGUGAGCCAUCAGGUGGAUGCUAGGAAUUGAACCUGGAUCCUCUGGAAGAGCAACAAGUACUCUUAACUGCUGAGCCAUCUCUCUAGCCUUCCAACCAACAUUUAAAAGACCCGGUAGAUACAAGCAACCCUCUAACACACAAACCUCUGGGAGAUACUUAUCUAUCCUACCCAUAAAAGUUUGCAGUAAUAAUCACACAUAACACUAGAAAUACCACACAAACACAACUUUGUGCAGACAAGAAACUCAUGCUCACGCUAAAGAAGAUGCUAGUGUGUGGGAUGAGUUACAGCUGAAAACAAAGGCUACUUUCAGCACGUUGCUGUAGUAGCACAGCAUCUGAGGUAGCUCAGCAUCGCUUCCUCCUAACCUGACAGUGUUGCUGUCACAUCCUAGGAGGUGAGAAUUUGCACAUCAAGCUGUUUCUGAGUCACCCACAUGAAGAGUUUAUAAACCUGUAUGAUACGCUCCCUUUUGGGAAAUUUUCAUAAACACAAAACACAGUGUUGAUUUUGGACUCUUCAGAUGUAGCAUGGUUCUCAGGUAUGUGGUACUGUUCAGACCCCAUCCAACACCCACACUACUUUAUUCACAGCCUCUCUCUCUCUCUCUCUCUCUCUCUCUCUCUCUCUCUCUCUCUCUCUCUCUCACACACACACACACACACACACACACACACACACACACACACACACACACACACACGCCCACUUUCUUAUUUUCCUGAGAGAAGGUCUCAUGCAUCCCGUGCCGGUCUUGAACAUGUUAUAUAGCCAAGGAUGACCUUGGAAUUCUGAUCGUCCUGCCUCCAUUUUCCAGUUCUGGGAUUACAGGGAUUCACAACUAGACCUGGUUUUAUACAACACUGAGGUUCAAACUCAGGGACCCAGGCAUGCUAGGCAAGUGCUUUAGGACCUGAGCCACAGCCCAGCUCUGUUGUGAGCCCUUCUCUAGUCCCUCUUUCACCUUCACUUACAGGUGAUGUGCUUGGGCAAGGAAAAAGAGGAAGAGAGAGAGGAGAGUGUGCAAGGGACAGCCAAGGGCGGGGGUGUAGGCCCUGCAGCUCUCUCAUAUACUGCCAGGGCCCCACAGAUGUACGCCACCAUACAAACCCUCAGUUGAAACUAUGUUACAGUAAAGCUUCAUCCUAAAGCAACACACAACUUCCCUUUAGACUCUUUAUUUAAAAUCAUGCCUGCCAUUUGUAUGGGAGUUAAGACCAAACUGCCACACAAUAUCCCUCCAUCUCUUAUGCUGGAAGCAUUUUGUGCCUGAGGCCUAGUCCCAAAGAUAGCAAAUCCUAAAUGAUAAAUGGUAAACCAAGAUUUAAACCUUUUUUGUUUGUUUUUUGUUUGUUUGUUUUUUGGUUUUUCGAGACAGGGUUUCUCUGUAUAGCCCUGGAUGUCCUGGAACUCACUUUGUAGACCAGGCUGGCCUCGAACUCAGAAAUCUGCCUGCCUCUGGCUCAUGAAGCACAAGGUGCUAAAGAGGAGGUGAAGCAACUGGAUGUUUUGAGGGGAGUUAGCAGAUUCCAUCCUGAAGAGAAGCUCAUUAAACUCAGGAAAGAAACAAUUCAGUGGCUUCAGGAAUUUCCCAGAACUGAGUAGAUUCACUAGGCUCCUCCUCCUCUGAAACACAUAACGUGCCAAGCUGCUGAGAGACACUCAGACAAGCGAGGCUGACUGGAAGAAGCAGAGACCAGCUGAGCUACCUGGAGAGGACACCAUCUGACCUGUUCAGCUGCCUGCAGGCUGUGCAGUGUGCUCUGGGUUCCCAGCUCUGUGAGCUGUCACCCAUGCCGGGGUGGGCCUUGGUGAGGCAGGUGUCUUUGAGUCAUUUCUGCUCCUGUAAGGAACCCCUCCUCCCAUACUUCUGUCAGUAACUUGAAAAAACCUGAUUAGCUCAUCAAGUUAGAUUUUGGUGGUACCCUUAUUCCAGUGUAUCAUAGAUUUCCUAUCCAAGGCUAGGUUUGGUGGACAUGCCUUUAACCCCAACAUUUGGGAUGUCUUACUCAGUAGGGUGUAUGAUAUCUGUAUUAACUGAGCAAGAUGGAGGUUAGAGACACAGGCAGAGUGUGCAGGAUACAAGAAGUGCUGGCUUCAGUCCACAGCACUGGACUGCACAUACCGGCAAUUCCAGCACUUGGGAGAUUGAGACAGAAGGGUCCAAAGUGGAAGAUCACCCUCUGAUACAUAAUGACUUCAAGGCAGCCUGGCCUACAUGAGACCCUGACUCAAGAGAAAAAGACAAAACAAAUGAACAAGCAAACCAACCAACCAACCAACCAACCAACCAACCAACCAACCAACCAAAACCCCAAGUACCUUAGCUAGUAAGCAGUAAGCUCAAGUUUUUUCUCCUAGUGCCAGCAGCUGAAUUCAGAGCCUCAUCGACUUUAGGCAAGCCUUGAGGGUCCAACUACAUCCCAGCCUAGAAAUAUUCCACUGUAGGAAUGUGGAGGCUUUCCUGUUGCCGGGAAAAUGGUAUUUUCUUUCUUGCUUCAGUCUUUCACCCUAUGCCUCUGCUUCCCAUUGACCUGACUGGACACUUCCUUUAACAUAAGCUACCUAAGGGAUAGCUUUAUUCCUUGCUAUCCUUUGGACUUUCCCCACAGUUGAAACAGACCCAGGCAUAUGUAAACACUGUAAGGAUAGAGAGAGACUGCUUCCUUCCAUGUUACCCAGUCCAGGGCGUGCUGUAUGCAUACGUAUAAAAAUAUUUUAUUUCUCGAUGUUUUCAGUACAAACAUCAAAAAGAGAAUUCCAUCAAAGAAGUUUCUAAACUUAUUAUUAGGUUGGUUGCAGGGCAAGUGAGGGAGUGGGGCUAUAACGGGAGAUAUCGGUGAGAAAAGGAAGAAUGUUAACUCACUCCAACAAACUCUUUACUCCCUGGAACCACCGGUCUGAUACUGUACAUUCAUAUUAUUUUCAGAGUUUCCUGUUUUUAUUGGCAUGUGACAUUUAUUAAAAACCUAUGAUCUCCCACAGCACUCAGUGCAGUUAACUGUUCCCACAGCUAGAGAGAGAGAGAGAGAGAGAGAGAGAGAGAGAGAUAGAGAGAGAGAGAGAGAGAGAGAGAC